Molecule: RNA transcript, 3201 nt
Organism: Drosophila miranda
Lineage: Eukaryota; Metazoa; Arthropoda; Insecta; Diptera; Drosophilidae
Gene: Rm62
Gene name: ATP-dependent RNA helicase p62
Exons: 6
Source: RefSeq, a predicted model, not a curated record
UAAUAUUGUUGCCAGAUGGGCCAAAAAAGAUUAUUUGGUCAGACCGCCGAGUCGCUCUUCCUCAUUUCCAUUUUGGACGAGGUUAGAACGACCAGCAGCAGUUUCGCUUUGCUCUGCACAGAACACCCACAACAGUUCCACGGGAGUCCGAGUAGCCCCAGUCGCCAGGAGUCGAGUGUAUCCAGUAUACCCAGAGUAUUAUUACCCAGUAUCUCCCAGGCACAGCGUGCGUUUCGUUUGUCAUCCAGACUACUAGAAACGUCAAGAACAUCCACAUACUCUCUCCCUGAAGCAGACGAGCAAGAUACUGUGUCCAAACGUGCGAGGAAAUCGCCUUUUACUGAUCCACACGUGAAUACAGAGGAAAUCAAAAUUGAAGGAGUAAUGGCACCACACGAUCGUGAUUUCGGUCAAAAUUCCCGUGGCGGUCGCGAUGGCCGCGGUGGCGGUGAAGACCGUCGCGGCGGAGGUGGCGGCGGCGGCGGAGGAGGAGGGUCCCGCUUUGGCGCUGGUGGCGGCGGAGGCGAUUACCAUGGCGUCCGCAAUGGACGGAUUGAGAAGCGUCGCGAUGAUCGCGGCGGCGGCGGUGGAGGCGGCGGAAACCGCUUUGGCGGCGGUGGAUUCGGUGGCGAUCGUCGCGGAGGCGGCGGUAGCCAGGAUCUGCCAAUGCGCCCAGUCGACUUCUCCAAUCUGACGCCGUUCAAGAAGAACUUCUAUCAGGAGCACGCCACCGUUUCGGCCCGUUCCCCGUACGAGGUGCAGCGGUAUCGCGACGAGCACGAGAUCACUGUGCGCGGCCAGGCCCAGAAUCCCAUUCAGGACUUCGGUGAGGUAUACUUGCCCGAAUACGUGACGAAGGAGAUCCGCCGCCAGGGCUACAAGGAGCCGACACCCAUUCAGGCGCAGGGCUGGCCCAUCGCGAUGAGCGGUGCGAACUUUGUGGGCAUUGCCAAGACCGGCUCGGGCAAGACCCUGGGCUACAUUCUGCCCGCCAUCGUGCACAUCAACAACCAGCAGCCGCUGCAGCGCGGCGACGGACCCAUUGCCCUGGUGCUGGCGCCAACGCGUGAGCUGGCCCAGCAGAUCCAGCAGGUGGCCACCGAGUUCGGUUCGUCCUCGUAUGUGCGCAACACCUGCGUUUUCGGAGGCGCCCCUAAGGGUGGCCAGAUGCGCGAUCUGCAGCGCGGAUGCGAGAUUGUUAUUGCCACGCCCGGUCGCCUCAUUGAUUUCCUCUCGUCGGGCGGCACGAAUCUGAAACGAUGCACCUACCUGGUGCUGGACGAGGCCGAUCGUAUGCUGGACAUGGGCUUCGAACCCCAGAUCCGCAAGAUUGUCUCACAGAUCCGUCCCGACCGUCAGACGCUCAUGUGGAGCGCCACCUGGCCCAAGGAGGUCAAGCAGCUGGCCGAGGAUUUCCUCGGCAACUACAUCCAGAUCAACAUCGGUUCCCUCGAAUUGUCAGCCAAUCACAACAUCCGCCAGGUGGUGGAAGUGUGCGAUGAGUUUAGCAAGGAAGAGAAGCUUAAGAGUCUCCUGUCGGACAUUUAUGACACCAGCGAGAAUCCCGGCAAGAUCAUCAUCUUUGUGGAGACGAAGCGACGCGUGGACAAUCUGGUGCGAUUCAUACGCAGCUUCGGCGUGCGCUGCGGCGCCAUUCACGGCGACAAGUCGCAGUCGGAGCGUGAUUUUGUCCUGCGCGAAUUCCGUUCGGGCAAAUCGAACAUUCUGGUAGCCACCGAUGUGGCGGCCCGUGGUCUGGAGGCCGAUUGUUGUAGUAUGAUGGGGAGGAUAAAUGAGAUAAAUGAGCUACCCGUGCGACCCUUGCGAGUACUCGUAACUUGAGCGACUUUUGCCAAUCUCCAAUGAGAAUUUUAAUUUGGGCAAAAGGAUCUAUGAAAGUUUCUGACGAUCGAGAUUCGUUUCGGCUUGGAUACGCGCAUGAGAGACACGACAUAUCCCCAACAUCAUGCAUCAUAUGUGGCCUCUGCAGUCUGUAUUGAGAAAGAGUUUAAUUGCGACCAACAAUCAAUCAAUCAACAACAACGCAGCCAGCCUCAGGCAACCAUCACAACACAACCCAACCCUGGCCAACACUUGCCAGCAGCCGCCCCAGCAGCUAGCAGUUAGAAGGCGGCGCUACAAAGCAGGCAAAAAACAAAUAAAAAGACAUCCCCAGAAGGCUAGAGGCUGUCAAAACAUCGGCGGCGCCCAGACAGCAUCAGCAACAGAGACCACCACCAAGGUGUGACCCUUGCCCUGCCUGCCAUUCCUGCCCUGACCUGCCAGCGGAUGCACCACCAAAAAGCAAGCAGCCAAGCAAAAGACAAACCCACCCACCCACACGCACCUGAACACCACACCAGCCACAAAAAUCAGAUCAGAUCCUCACCCCACACACACACACACCAACCAACCAAACAACCAACCGACACCUGCCGAGCACGCCCACAGUCUACUCGUAGUUGCUUGUGGAGAGAGAACGAACCGAACUGAACCGAACGAUGAGGAGAGCGUUGUGUGCGGGAUUGAGUGAGGGAGCGGAUCGGAUCGGAGCGAUAUGUGGGCUGUGGGUUGAAGAUGAUGCGGAAUUUCUGCUGACGGUUCUGCUGUCUCCUGUUCUCGUCGUCACUGCUGCUGCUGCUGAGUGCGCCUAGCUACCACGCCCACUGCCUGACUGCCUGUGCCUGUGCCUGCGCCUGCGCCGCCGCCAUCGACAAUGGCCCGUCAUAAUGUGUGGUGGCGACUGCUACUGGACAGGCCGUUUGUUGUUGUGUUACCGUUACCCCUCCUGGCCAACGCAUCUAGCGGCGCGCCUCCGUCCUGUCCUCCUGUCUAUGCGGAGGAUGCGGUUGACGUUGCCGGUGCCAAUGCUGCGGUUUGCCUGCCGGUGCCGUGGCCAUACUACCGUUGAGCAUGGCCAUGACAGUUGCCGUUGGCGUUGGCCGCCUCCACAAACACACCUACACACGCGAGAGUACUACCACUACUCGCGUAUAUAGAGAGAGGCGCACGCGGCUCAAUGCAACAAACUCUCGCCGCCCGCUUCGCCGUGCGAUUCUUUUUUUGGGAGAGUUUGGACCACGAGCUGCGCGACGCCACAAAAGCUUUGAGAUUUUGAUUGAGAGAGAAAAUUGAGUGAAACAAUUUAUAGCACCAAGAAGAUGUGGAUGGCAUUAAGUAUGUCAUCAACUUUGACUACCC